RNAcentral lists this ribosomal RNA (163 nucleotides) under uncultured bacterium. RNAcentral's name for it is "partial 16S ribosomal RNA". It matches the Rfam family "Bacterial small subunit ribosomal RNA", at positions 355 to 510 of the family's 1533-position model. The record is from RNAcentral.
UAGGGAAUCUUCCACAAUGGGCGCAAGCCUGAUGGAGCAACACCGCGUGAGUGAAGAAGGGUUUCGGCUCGUAAAGCUCUGUUGUUAAAGAAGAACACGUAUGAGAGUAACUGUUCAUACGUUGACGGUAUUUAACCAGAAAGCCACGGCUAACUACGUGCCA